RNAcentral lists this ribosomal RNA (402 nucleotides) under uncultured microorganism. RNAcentral's name for it is "bacterial SSU rRNA". It matches the Rfam family "Bacterial small subunit ribosomal RNA", at positions 346 to 795 of the family's 1533-position model. The record is from RNAcentral.
GGGCAGCAAUGGGGAAUAUUGCGCAAUGGACGAAAGUCUGACGCAGCGACGUCGCGUGAGGGAUGAAUGCCUUCGGGUUGUAAACCUCGUUAUAAGCACCGGCAAACUACGUGCCAGCAGCAGCGGUCAUACGUAGGGUGCAAGCAUUACCCGGUUUUACUGGGCGUAAAGAGUCUGUAGGCGGUUGUUCAAGUUGGAAGUUAAAUGUCUCGGCCCAACCGAGAAGCGGCUUUCAAUACUGUUCAACUAAGAGAUAGCUAGGGGGUAACGGAACGUAUGGUGUAGCGGUGAAAUGCGUUGAUAUCAUACGGAACACCUAGGGGGAAGCCAGUUACCUGGGGCUAUUCUGACGCUGAGAGACGAAAGCGUGGGGAGCAAAACGGAUUAGAUACCCGGGUAGUC